Molecule: ribosomal RNA, 253 nt
Filed under: uncultured bacterium
Lineage: Bacteria
Description: partial 16S ribosomal RNA
Rfam family: Bacterial small subunit ribosomal RNA
Source: RNAcentral
UACGUAGGGGGCAAGCGUUGUCCGGAAUCAUUGGGCGUAAAGGGCGCGUGGGCGGCCCUUAAAGUCCGCGGGGAAAGUCAAGGGCUCAACCCUUGGAUGCCGGUGGAUACUGCAGGGCUAGAGUCCGGAAGAGGCGAGUGGAAUUCCUGGUGUAGCGGUGAAAUGCGCAGAUAUCAGGAGGAACACCGAUGGCGAAGGCAGCUCGCUGGGACGGUACUGACGCUGAGGCGCGAAAGCGUGGGGAGCAAACAGG